Molecule: non-coding RNA, 64 nt
Filed under: Allomuricauda sp. MAR_2010_75
Lineage: Bacteria; Pseudomonadati; Bacteroidota; Flavobacteriia; Flavobacteriales; Flavobacteriaceae
Description: S15-Flavobacteria ribosomal protein leader
Rfam family: S15-Flavobacteria ribosomal protein leader
Source: RNAcentral
UAUCUUUGCGCGCUGAUUGAAGGUCAAUCAAUACAUAAAAAUCAUUUAAAUAAAUAUUGGAAUG